UACCACACAGGAGCAUAAUCUUCUGAAACAAACAUUACAACGGAGUAUUCAUAAAUUAUGUAAAGCCUUUGCAAAUAUAUAUGGACAUAUACUUAGAAUUUACUGGGGAAAGUUUACUAUGUAGUUAGAAAUAAUAAAUACCUAUGUAUUAGAAACUGCAGAAUAGAGAGAUAUUUGCACAAAUGAUACAAAAAUUGGGAAUCUAAAAAUACUUUUAUAAAUGUUACACAUUUUUGAAAACUCUUUUAACACUUUUAUAUUUUAUUAGAAAUUAAGGAAUCAAAAAUCCUACACAAUGAUCUGUAGUUAUAAUAAAACAAUAAAAAAUAUAAUAUCCAAAUGAUAUAUAAAAACGUACUUCUGAAUUGGUGUAGAAAUUCCAUCUAGUUCAGAAUAAUAUCAAUAUGGAUACUUCCUUUUAUAUUAAAUUCACAAAAUCUAGCAGUUUUCUAUGGUAUUUUACAUUUUCUUAGAUUGUUUUAAAAUUUCUUCAUUCUUUCUUUGGUUUUGGAUAAACUAACAGGCAUUUUAAUUAAUGUAAUUCAAUUAGUGUAAAAUUCACUAAUCUGAAUUUAAAAAUCUAUCUCAGAAGUAGUUCAAUUUUUCUUUUUUAAUUUUUAAUAGAUUAAUUCUAAGGUAAGACUCAUUUAUUAAAGUAGAUUAUAAAACACUGCCCUAAUUUUUACCUAAUUAGCUUAAAAAGCACCAUCCUUGAUAUAAGCAUUAUUUACUAAUCUCUAAAUCUAAUUUAAUGUAUAAAUAAAAUACUAACUUUAACAUGGAGUAAAAAUCAGUGCAAUGAGAAGGUCAUUUUUAAAAUCAAUGACAGGGCCAAGUCUCUAUGUAAUCUCUAAAAUGGCACUUUAUCUUCCAAUUUAAUGUUUAGAAGACUCAAGAUCACUUUUUAAAAAAUAUUUUGUCUUUUACCAAUAUAUAUAUAUAAAUAAUAGAUUCUUAUUUGCAAACCUCUGGAGCCAAACAAGGUAAAGCUACCAUAAAGUAUAUUCAGUGGUUUUCAAAGAAAAAACAUUUUAUCUUGGAUACCCUACCUUAAUGUUAGUUUAGACUGAAUAUCCGGUGUUUUCCCUACUACGAAGCUUGAGCUCAUAAAAAAGAAUGAGAUUAUGUCCUUUGCAGAGGCAUGGCUGGAGCUGGAAGUCAUUAUCCUUAGCAAACUAAUGCAGAAACAGAAAAACAAAUGCCAUCCGUUCUCACUUCUAAGUGGGAGCUAAAUGAUGAGAACACAUGGACACAGAGGGGAACAGCACACACUAGGGCCUAUCAAAGGGUGGAGGGUGGAAGGAGGGAGAGGAUCAGGAAAAAUAACUAAUGGAUACUAGGCUUAAUACCUGGGUGAUAAUCUGUACAACAAACUCCCACGACACAAGUUUACCUAUGUAACAACCUGCACAUGUACCCCUGAACUUCAAGUAAAAAAAAAAAAAAAGGAAGUUUGGACUGAAUAGGGAAGGAGUUGGAUGGUUCCUGGAAAUGGACAUAAAAUACCCUGAGUGGAUCUGAAAGAGCAAGUGGGUCAUGCUUUGAGCAGUAAUGAUGCACCAGAGAGCACCUAACCAGCAGCCCUAUAACAUGGGCUCCAGGCUACUCACAUAUCUAACUAUUCCUCAAGUGGGAGAGCUGCUGAAUUAAGACUGGCAUUUGCUCUUAAAAGUUUCUAUUGCUAAUGUUUAGGAAUAAUGUAGAAAAUUCUCAAAAAUGCUUUGGUUUGCUUUGUGCAGGAAACUAAGCAUUAGCAAUCUUCCCCGGACACAUGGAGCUGUGACCACGGAAAAGAGGCAUGGACCUGGUGGUCGCUGCUGCUGCUGCUGCUGCUGCUGCCUAAUGUGUCUCAUUGCUAUAGAAAUGGAGUCAGCUGGCCAGGCGCGGAAGCUCACGCCUAUAAUCCCAGCACUUUGGGAGGCCGAGGUGGGCAGAUCACCUGAGGUCAGGAGUUCAACACCGGCCUGGCUAACAUGGUGAAACCCUGCCUCUACUAAAAAUACAAAAAAAAUUUAGCUGGGUGUGGUGGCAUGCACCUGUAAUCCUAGCUACCCAGGAGGCUGAAGCAGGAGAAUCGCUUGAGCCCAGGAGGUGGAGGUUGUAGUGAGCCGAGAUCGUGCCACUGCACUCCAGCCGGGGCCACAGAGCCAGACUCCGUUUCAAAAAAAAAGAAAAGAAAAAAGAAAUGGAGUCAGCAAAGUCAAGGAGAAAUUUUCAAACAGAGGCAAGGCUCUGGGUCAUUUUUGUCACCCUGUGAUAAAGGACAACAUUAAUGUUAGUCUCAACACAUCUUUUAAAAUUUCAGACAUCUACUAGUAGGCAAUGAUCCCUUCUCCUUACAGCCAGAAAUAGUCUGAAAGUAAUUUAUUAUGCAUUUAUAUGAUACAUAUAUGUGUGUAUAUAGUUUAUAAAUCUAAGUUUAUAAAUAUGCUCAUAUAUAUAGCCUUAUAAAGUUACAGUUUGGAUUAGUAAAAAUUAGACUGAUGAAAUGCAAUUAUCUGAUAGAAAAGAGGAAAUUAGCUGAUUUGAGAUUUGAGAAUGUAAAAAUGAGUGUAAGGACUUGAAUCACAAUCAAGAGAAACAGUGGGGAGAGGGACAAGAGGAAGACAUGCCUGGAGCCUCAUCUCUGCUAAUUCCCCUUCCUGUUCUCUGCUCCAUUUUCUACAGUAAUGUCAGAUGGGGAAACACACUCUGAAGAAAAGCCAGGCAGAGCAGGACAGAGCGCGAGGAGACGAGGGCUCUGGGAAGGUGUCAUUGCAGUGGUGGCGUCUGGGCAAAGGCCAGCUCCUGAUGGCACGUGGAGGGUGGGAGGCUCCCCUCCCAUGGAGGAGCUUCGACUGUAAACAAUAAAGAUGACAUCACCUGCCAUAGCUUUUAAUUGCGUUUAUAUUCAACCCUAAGAUCAAUAAAUGUGGGGUACUUCACGUGAACUGUCUGAAUUUGAAGAUGGAACAUAGAAAAAG
This 2963-nucleotide long non-coding RNA is filed under the name Homo sapiens (human). RNAcentral's name for it is "HSALNT0082164". Lineage: Eukaryota; Metazoa; Chordata; Mammalia; Primates; Hominidae. The record is from RNAcentral.